UUUCCGGUUGAUCCCGCCAGACCUGACUGCUAUCGGAUUGAUACUAAGCCAUGCGAGUCAUUGUAGCAAUACAAGGCAUACGGCUCAGUAACGCGUAGUCAACCUAACCUAUGGACGGGAAUAACCUCGGGAAACUGAGAAUAAUGCCCGAUAGAACAUUAUACCUGGAAUGGUUUAUGUUCCAAAUGAUUUAUCGCCGUAGGAUGGGACUGCGGCCUAUCAGUUUGUUGGUGAGGUAAUGGCCCACCAAGACUAUUACAGGUACGGGCUCUGAGAGGAGUAGCCCGGAGAUGGGUACUGAGACACGGACCCAGGCCCUAUGGGGCGCAGCAGGCGAGAAAACUUUGCAAUGUGCGAAAGCACGACAAGGUUAAUCCGAGUGAUUUCUGCUAAAGAAAUCUUUUGUUAGUCCUAGAAACACUAACGAAUAAGGGGUGGGCAAGUUCUGGUGUCAGCCGCCGCGGUAAAACCAGCACCUCAAGUGGUCAGGAUGAUUAUUGGGCCUAAAGCAUCCGUAGCCGGCUCUGUAAGUUUUCGGUUAAAUCUGUACGCUUAACGUACAGGCCGCCGGGAAUACUGCAAAGCUAGGGAGUGGGAGAAGUAGACGGUACUCGGUAGGAAGUGGUAAAAUGCUUUGAUCUAUCGAUGACCACCUGUGGCGAAGGCGGUCUACUAGAACACGUCCGACGGUGAGGGAUGAAAGCUGGGGGAGCAAACCGGAUUAGAUACCCGGGUAGUCCCAGCUGUAAACUAUGCAAACUCAGUGAUGCAUUGGCUUGUGGCCAAUGCAGUGCUGCAGGGAAGCCGUUAAGUUUGCCGCCUGGGAAGUACGUACGCAAGUAUGAAACUUAAAGGAAUUGGCGGGGGAGCACCACAAGGGGUGAAGCCUGCGGUUCAAUUGGAUUCAACGCCGGGA
Molecule: ribosomal RNA, 916 nt
Filed under: uncultured archaeon
Lineage: Archaea
Description: bacterial SSU rRNA
Rfam family: Archaeal small subunit ribosomal RNA
Source: RNAcentral